This 368-nucleotide unclassified non-coding RNA is filed under the name uncultured bacterium. RNAcentral describes it as "contains 16S-23S intergenic spacer region". The record is from RNAcentral.
UCCCCGUUGCCGAGGCAGUCUGAUUAGACAUAUCUAACUAAUCAUGAGGGUUGCGCUCGUUAAAGGACUUAACCUGACAUCUCACGACACGAGCUGACGACGGCCAUGCAUCACCUGUCACUGGUCCAGCCUAGCUGACGUUUUUAUCUCUAAAAACUGCGACCAGGAUGUCAAGUCUGGGUAAGGUUCUACGCGUAGCGUCGAAUUAAACCACACGCUCCACCGCUUGUGCGGGUCCCCGUCAAUUCCUUUGAGUUUUAGCCUUGCGGCCGUACUCCCCAGGCGGGAUGCUUAACGCGUUAGCUUUGCUACUGAGGAGGGUCGAUACUCCCCAACAGCUAGCAUCCAUCGUUUACAGCGUGGACUAC